GACGAACGCUGGCGGCACGCCUAGCACAUGCAAGUCGAACGCAGUAGCAAUACUGAGUGGCAGACGGGUGAGUAACAUGUGGGAAUCUGCCUUGUGGUUCAGGACAACAUUGGGAAACCGAUGCUAAUACUGGAUAAGCCCUUACGGGGACAGUUUUAAUGCCAUACGAUGAGCCCGCAUUUGAUUAGUUAGUUGGUGAGGUAAUGGCUCACCAAGACAAUGAUCAAUAGCUGAUCUGAGAGGAUGAUCAGCCACACUGGGACUGAGACACGGCCCAGACUCCUACGGGAGGCAGGAGUGGGGAAUCUUGCACAAUGGAGGAAACUCUGAUGCAGCGAUGCCGCGUGAGUGAAGAAGGCCUUUGGGUUGUAAAGCUCUUUUGUAGGGGAAGAUAAUGACUGUACCCUAAGAAUAAGGUCCGGCUAACUUCGUGCCAGCAGCCGCAGUAA
Molecule: ribosomal RNA, 449 nt
Filed under: uncultured bacterium
Lineage: Bacteria
Description: partial 16S ribosomal RNA
Rfam family: Bacterial small subunit ribosomal RNA
Source: RNAcentral